UCAUGAACAAGUGCAGAUCUAAGGUACUGGAUCAGAUGGCGUGUAUGCUUACAGAAUUAUGUGGGUGUGCUUGAGUACAACUACAAGCAUGCACGUUUUAUGUAAAUGUUGAGAUGUCUAUAAUUCAACUUGUACUUGAACUCCCCAAUAUAUUGAAUUGCAGAACAUUUGUGGCUUGAAGUUUUAGAUGUGCACUUGAGAUUAAGAAGCAAAAUCCAAGCACUUCUUCCUUACCCAGCAUUGCCCCAGAAUGUUGUGUUUAUGUGUUGGUGUGGUGGGGAGGAACCAAAUUUCUCCCUGAAGGCUUUUUCUUUAUUCACAUGCUUUUUGCUUAUCAGGAGCAAUAACAAUGAGUGUUAUGUUUUCGGCUUUGAAAGAUUGUUUUUCAUGCAGCAGGAACUUAUACACAUGUAUGCAAAUAUGAAAUUCAUUGUAUUCUAUUAGUUCUUAUGAGGUAAAAAUCUUCCUUGUCAGACAGUAAUAUUUCUAUGGUUAAGUCAUUGAAACAAAAACUUUAUACCUAGGUCAGUAUCUUGAGAUUGAAAACUAGCUGGUUAAACUGUUCACUAUUGUAUCUAUUUUGCUGUAUAAACUUUUGCUUCAAUAAUAAAUCCUCUGUUAUAA
RNAcentral lists this unclassified non-coding RNA (624 nucleotides) under Hevea brasiliensis (rubber tree). Lineage: Eukaryota; Viridiplantae; Streptophyta; Magnoliopsida; Malpighiales; Euphorbiaceae. The record is from RNAcentral.